Molecule: long non-coding RNA, 222 nt
Filed under: Phoenix dactylifera (date palm)
Lineage: Eukaryota; Viridiplantae; Streptophyta; Magnoliopsida; Arecales; Arecaceae
Description: long non-coding RNA (PDAC_LNC009259)
Source: RNAcentral
GAAGAACUUACUGUACUGCUCUCCCUGUGGCCUGGAUUCGAAAUUUCUCUGGCUUGACUUUAGGAGAUUUCCUCUUUUGUACAGGAAAGGUCAGGUCAGGAAGAGCAGCAAGAGCAAAGGCCGAUGAUAAUGCGAGGAUUGGUCGAUCUUCCCCAGUUUUUUUGGGGGGCCAGGUCCAGCCCGAAGCUCUUUCUACCUACAUUCAUUAAACCGAGCGAGGGA